Sebastes umbrosus (honeycomb rockfish) is the source of this 1071-nucleotide long non-coding RNA. RefSeq lists it as uncharacterized. The transcript has 3 exons. Lineage: Eukaryota; Metazoa; Chordata; Actinopteri; Perciformes; Sebastidae. The record is from RefSeq and is a predicted model, not a curated record.
AGGCAACCGAGGAAGGAAGAACCCAGCAGGAACCAUGGUUACUACCUAUAUCCAUGGUUACUACCUUAAUACAUCCAUGGUUACUACCUUACCUAGUGAAGCCGAAGCGGAUGUAGACUCUCGUUUGGUGUCGUCUUGAGGACGUGACGGAGAUACGAUGAUGUCAUCUGAAUCGUCAGAAUCAACUGCAGCGGCUCCACCAGACUCAGCUGAGCAGUGAAGCUCUGUUUGGACUGCAGGAGAUAGACAGCACAAGUCUGUCCAUAAUGAUGUCUAGUAGCAUUGUCCCAGGCUGAGACAAGAGCACACAUGAAACUUGAUGAAUUAGUCAUCAUUUCAACACCCUUCCCUCUCAGGGCUUGAGAAAGCUGGUGCCGUUAGAUGCCGUGACGCUGCAUCCUGUGACACACAUCGUGAUUACCGUGAGAUACAUCAAACACUACUGCCCUCGACUUGAUUCUAUUACGCAGGACAGUGGUUUCUACCCGGACUGUUUCUCCUGUCUGUGAUGGCAGAUCACUUUCUUAGAAAUUUGAGGCGACACUAGCCCGUAUAUUUGUCUAUAUGUUUACAAUCUUAUCUAUAAAUUUGUCAUCGUGAUUGUCCACACUGUAAUUUUACUAUGUUGAUCUAUUCUCUAAUACAAAUUUGUGAUUUGCAAUAUUGAGCUUUAGAAAUAAAAUUUGAUUUGACUCUUUGAUUUCUUCACUCUUGAUACCAAAAUCACAACAUUGCUGACAUAGUACAAAGAAAUGAACAUUGUGAGGACUAUAGUGCAAAGUAGGGCUGCACAAUUAAUCAAAGUUUUAUCGAAAUCACUAUCGCUAUUGCAUUAUCAGUCAAAAUAAUCACAAUUAGAUAUUUUCACAAAAUCAUGCAGCCUUACUGCAAACUGUAGUGUAAUACUGUACUGUGAAAAUAAAACCUAGAAUUAUAGACUGGUAAAAGUGUGAAGAAUAACUUGAGUAUACACUAAACAUAAAGUCUUUAUAUUUUAUUACAGUGGCCAAUAGUUUUUUAAAAGUAACUAUGAUAUUGAUACUAAGAGAGAUACAUUGAUUCUGAAGUGUA